UACGGAGGGAGCUAGCGUUGUCCGGAUUUAUUGGGUUUAAAGGGUGCGUAGGCGGCCCGUUAAGUCAGUGGUGAAAGCCUCCAGCUCAACUGGGGAACUGCCAUUGAUACUGGCGGGCUUGAGUACAGAAGAGGUAGGCGGAAUUGAUUGUGUAGCGGUGAAAUGCAUAGAUACAAUCAAGAACACCGAUUGCGUAGGCAGCUUACUAGGCUGUAACUGACGCUGAGGCACGAAAGCGUGGGGAGCGAACAGG
Molecule: ribosomal RNA, 253 nt
Filed under: uncultured bacterium
Lineage: Bacteria
Description: partial 16S ribosomal RNA
Rfam family: Bacterial small subunit ribosomal RNA
Source: RNAcentral